GGGAUACACCGGAGACUUUGCUAAGGUUUUUGAAGCGACAACGUGACAAAAAGACAAUACUUUGGCCUUACAACUUCCAGUUUCACUUUAUUCUUAUCGUCAUUAAAAUGUACGAAGGAGAAGUUGAAGUCUUUGACUCACUAACCAAAGAGCCUAUACAAUACAAGUCUUGUUUUCUUAUGCUCAAAAGCGUAUGGGAAACUUUCAUCAAGGAAGAUCAGUCCCAUGAUUGGAAACCGAAGCUGAUAUGGCGUGCGAACAAAAAAUGCGCAAAACAACCACCGGGGACUAAUCUAUGUGGAUACUACGUUUGCGAGUACAU
Non-coding RNA from Lolium perenne, 322 nucleotides. NCBI's taxonomy places the organism in Eukaryota, Viridiplantae, Streptophyta, Magnoliopsida, Poales, Poaceae. The record is from RefSeq and is a predicted model, not a curated record.